AUGGUAAACCCCACCCGGAGCAAGAUCAAAUAGAGGGACAGACGCGUGGCCCGCGCGGUUCCUGGGUAGAUUGCUUGAGCUGCAGGGUGACUUGCAGCCUAGAUGAAUGACUGUUCUCGACAGAACCCGGCUUAUAGGCCGGCUCUUUCU
Molecule: RNase P RNA, 150 nt
Filed under: Methylobacter sp.
Lineage: Bacteria; Pseudomonadati; Pseudomonadota; Gammaproteobacteria; Methylococcales; Methylococcaceae
Description: partial RNase P RNA component class A
Rfam family: Bacterial RNase P class A
About the family: Ribonuclease P (RNase P) is a ubiquitous endoribonuclease, found in archaea, bacteria and eukarya as well as chloroplasts and mitochondria.
Source: RNAcentral